GAUCAUUGAUAAGUGCUGCAAAGGAAAACAAGAGGACUCUAUGAAGGAGAAUUACCAGUCUCUACCUCUAUGUCCAUCAUUCAAUAAAUAUUUAGUCAAUCCUAAUGUGUGCCAGGCAGCAUUCUUGCUGGGAACACAGCAUUAAACAAAACAGAACAAAACAGACUAAGUUCCUCUUCUCAUGAAGCAGGGGCACAGAUCAUGGAAACCACUAUCAGAACUUGGGAUUUCAUUUAUGUCCAAUGUGAGUCAGGCAUCUCUCCUGGUGGCUGUCUUCCAUGUGGUGACUUAUGUAUCCAGGAUCCUUCUACUGUGUUUCUCCUCCAUUGCGAAGUCCUUCACUUCCAGCACCUGAGACAUUUUUUGGGUAUAUCUACAAGUGGCAUAUAUCACUUCUGCCCACAUUCACCUGGGUAGAACUCAAUCACAUUGUUUCACCUAACUGCAAGUGAGGCUGUGGAAUAUAGUCUCCCUAUGUGCCCAAGCAGAAGAAACAGGAUUGUGUGACUCUACAAUGUGUGAUUGCUCCUGGUGAAUCAAAAGGAUAAAGCUGCUGAUUCUGCAAUUUGAUAACCCAACCAUGCUGACCUCAAAGUGUAGUCAAUCCAUGAAGUUCCUCCCACCACAGCUCAUCCUGAACACUGCCCACCUGAGUCAUCAAGAAAGGUUUAAGUACAUUAUCUGUGCUCUGUUUAAUAUGUCCGUGAAGUGUGUCCUAAAUUUAGUUAUUUCUAGGACCUCUUUCUAGUUUGCAAGUAAGCCAGGUUCUACUGCUGUCAAGUGUUACUCAUGGCUAACUGAGGAAAAGGGGUUCAAAAACAUUGAGAAGACGAAAAGGAGGGAGAAGGCUGG
This 852-nucleotide long non-coding RNA is filed under the name Homo sapiens (human). RNAcentral describes it as "non-protein coding lnc-KIAA1147-3:6". The record is from RNAcentral. Lineage: Eukaryota; Metazoa; Chordata; Mammalia; Primates; Hominidae.